GCAAGUCGACGGGUAACCGGGGAGCUUGCUUCCGCUGACGACCGGCGCACGGGUGCGUAAUACGUAUGCAACCCACCACUUACAGGCGGAUAACCCGAAGAAUUUCGGAUUAAUACUCCAUACUAUAAUUGAAUCCAUGAAUUAGUAAUAAAGGUCUGGCGGUAAGGGAUGAGUAUGCGUGACAUUAGCUAGUUGGUAAGGUAACGGCUUACCAAGGCAACGAUGUCUAGGGGUUCUAAAAGGAUGAUC
This 249-nucleotide ribosomal RNA is filed under the name uncultured bacterium. RNAcentral describes it as "partial 16S ribosomal RNA". It matches the Rfam family "Bacterial small subunit ribosomal RNA", at positions 57 to 305 of the family's 1533-position model. The record is from RNAcentral.